This 29-nucleotide non-coding RNA is filed under the name Mus musculus (house mouse). Lineage: Eukaryota; Metazoa; Chordata; Mammalia; Rodentia; Muridae. The record is from RNAcentral.
UUACCAAGAUCAAACUACAUGACUUCAAA